This 282-nucleotide unclassified non-coding RNA is filed under the name Hevea brasiliensis (rubber tree). The record is from RNAcentral. Lineage: Eukaryota; Viridiplantae; Streptophyta; Magnoliopsida; Malpighiales; Euphorbiaceae.
GAUGGAUUCAAAUAGCUUUCCUGUUCAAAUGUUCUACAGUUAUUUGUUCCUUGGAAUAUGACAUUAACAUGAGAAGCAAUAUUCAAAUAUAAUUUUAUUGCUUAACAAAAUCACUAAUUGGUUGAUGGGUUAAAAAACUCACUUGUUGUAUGUGCAGAAAGAUAUUAAUGGUUUUAACUUUAAGGCAGUGCUGCCAGUGCCAAGACUAACCUAUUUUGCUUGUCUUACCUGCAAAUAAUUCAAAUUGAGUCCCUUUCUUUUGAGGGGGUUCUUCUCAAUCCA